Molecule: ribosomal RNA, 484 nt
Filed under: uncultured bacterium
Lineage: Bacteria
Description: partial 16S ribosomal RNA
Rfam family: Bacterial small subunit ribosomal RNA
Source: RNAcentral
AUUGAACGCUGGCGGCAGGCCUAACACAUGCAAGUCGAGCGGAUGAAGGGAGCUUGCUCCUGGAUUCAGCGGCGGACGGGUGAGUAAUGCCUAGGAAUCUGCCUGGUAGUGGGGGAUAACGUCCGGAAACGGGCGCUAAUACCGCCUACGUCCUGAGGCAGAAAGUGGGGGAUCUUCGGACCUCACGCUCUCAGAUGAGCCUAGGUCGGAUUAGCUAGUUGGUGGGGUAAAGGCCUACCAAGGCGACGAUCCGUAACUGGUCUGAGAGGAUGAUCAGUCACACUGGAACUGAGACACGGUCCAGACUCCUACGGGAGGCAGCAGUGGGGAAUAUUGGGCAAUGGGCGAAAGCCUGAUCCAGCCAGGCCGCGUGUGUGAAGAAGGUCUUCGGAUUGUAAAGCACUUUAAGUUGGGAGGAAGGGCAGUAAGUUAAUACCUUGCUGUUUUGACGUUACCAACAGAAUAAGCACCGGCUAACUUCGUG